Ribosomal RNA from Danio rerio (zebrafish), 122 nucleotides. Lineage: Eukaryota; Metazoa; Chordata; Actinopteri; Cypriniformes; Danionidae. The record is from Ensembl.
CCCAGCAUCUACUGUAUAGCUCUCUGGAGCUCUCUUAUGGCCAUUCACUGAAGCUAAGCAAGGCUGCACCUGGUCAGUACCUUGAUGGGAGACCUCAUGGGAAAACUGGGUUGCUGCUGGAG